RNAcentral lists this ribosomal RNA (487 nucleotides) under uncultured bacterium. RNAcentral describes it as "partial 16S ribosomal RNA". It matches the Rfam family "Bacterial small subunit ribosomal RNA", at positions 28 to 507 of the family's 1533-position model. The record is from RNAcentral.
GAUGAACGCUAGCGAUAGGCUUAACACAUGCAAGUCGAGGGGCAGCACAAGGUAGCUUGCUCUCUGGGUGGCGACCGGCGCACGGGUGCGUAACGCGUAUGCAACUUGCCCUAUACAGGAGGAUAACCCGUCGAAAGACGGACUAAUACUGCGUAUGCUCACAACUUGGCAUCAAGUGGUGAGGAAAGAAAUUCGGUAUAGGAUAGGCAUGCGUCCCAUUAGCUUGUUGGUGAGGUAACGGCUCACCAAGGCAACGAUGGGUAGGGGAACUGAGAGGUUUAUCCCCCAACCUGGUACUGAGACACGGACCAGACUCCUACGGGAGGCAGCAGUGAGGAAUAUUGGUCAAUGGGCGCGAGCCUGAACCAGCCAAGUCGCGUGAAGGAUGACUGUCUUAUGGAUUGUAAACUUCUUUUAUACGGGAAUAACAAGAGUCACGUGUGACUCCCUGCAUGUACCGUAUGAAUAAGCAUCGGCUAACUCCGUG